RNAcentral lists this RNase P RNA (302 nucleotides) under archaeon. Its description in RNAcentral is "RNase P RNA component". It matches the Rfam family "Archaeal RNase P". Rfam says of the family: Ribonuclease P (RNase P) is a ubiquitous endoribonuclease, found in archaea, bacteria and eukarya as well as chloroplasts and mitochondria. The record is from RNAcentral.
GGGUAGUUAAUUUCGGGAAUCUGGCAUUAAAUUGUCAAGUGUUAAAAAUAUGAACGCUGAUUCUUGAGGAAGGUCCGCCCACCAUAAAAAGCCACGAGGGAAAUCCUCGCUCGCAGUGAUGUGGGAGCUCUGGUACAGAAACGACACAGCUUGUGUUUAGCAAUGAAACUUUGGGUGAAGCUAGAAUAAUGCAAGAUUUGAUGAAACGAGCAUCUUGGCUGGUGCAAGGGGAAAACUCCGCUUAGUUGAAUAUUAACACAUUUGGUUUGAAUACAACAAAUGACAGAAGGUGGCCUAUUCCC